GAUGAACGCUGGCGGCGUGCCUAAUACAUGCAAGUCGAACGAACAGACCAGGAGCUUGCUCCUCUGACGUUAGCGGCGGGCGGGUGAGUCACACGUGGAUAACCUACCUAUCAGACUGGGAUCACUUCGGGAAACCGGCGCUAAUACCGGAUAAUAUAUUGAACCGCAUGGUUCAAUAGUGAAAGACGGUUUUGCUGUCACUUAUAGAUGGAUCCGCGCCGCAUUAGCUAGUUGGUAAGGUAACGGCUUACCAAGGCAACGAUGCGUAGCCGACCGGAGAGGGUGAUCGCCCACACUGGAAGGGAGACACGGUCCAGACUCCUACGGGAGGCAGCAGUAGGGAAUCUUCCGCAAUGGGCGAAAGCCUGACGGAGCAACGCGGCGUGAGUGAUGAAGGUCCUCGGAGCGGAAAACUGUGUUAUUAGUGAAGAACAAAUGUGUAAGUAACCAUGCACGUCUUGACGGUACCGAAUCAGAAAGCCACGGCUAACUACGUG
Molecule: ribosomal RNA, 497 nt
Filed under: uncultured bacterium
Lineage: Bacteria
Description: partial 16S ribosomal RNA
Rfam family: Bacterial small subunit ribosomal RNA
Source: RNAcentral